Non-coding RNA from Ictidomys tridecemlineatus (thirteen-lined ground squirrel), 1298 nucleotides. Lineage: Eukaryota; Metazoa; Chordata; Mammalia; Rodentia; Sciuridae. The record is from RefSeq and is a predicted model, not a curated record.
UGAUCAGGUCAUGAGGGCUGGGCCACAUGAAGGGAUUAAUUAUUCCAUGGAUUAAUGGGUUAAUGGGUUAUCUCCAGAGUGGGUCUAGUAUAAUAACCUCUUUGGUUCUGUCUCUCUUAUGCAUCUUUCUGGCUAUAUGAUGCCUUGUGCCCUCAAGAUUCUGCAGAGAAUUCCCAGGAUCAAGAAGGCCUUCACUGUAUGUGGCCCCAUAACCUUGGAUUUCUCAGACUCCAAAAUUGAAGGGGCCUGAAAGUUGAAGAUAACUCCAUUUGAAAUUCAACCCGAACUGAGAGGAAACAUUAUUGACUGCAUGGACUCACAUAUAUUCAUUGAGUGAUUAUUGAACACCGGAUGCUGGGUAGGGAGGCUUUCCUCUGACAUCUGGUGACCCCUGGCACCCAUUCUCAUUUGAGAAUGAGACCCAUUGACGAAGCCCAUGGAAGAGCAAAGAUAUGCUGAAGGCAGAAAAAAAAAAGGAGCAAAAUGAAAACAAUAUUGAACUUACAAGUUUAUAGGACUUUGUUCUGGAAGUGAACAUCUACAAGUUUGAUCCUGAAGAGUUGGGGUAAGACAAAAUGUUUUACAUAAAUAAAUUCACAAUUUUUAUAUUUUGUUCAAAAAACAAAGAAGUAAAAGCAACAUGAAGAUCAUUUAGACAUGCAAAAACUAAGUUUAAUACUCUCAGACUUUCACCAAAAGAAUUAUUACAAGAUGUGUCUAGCUGGAAGCAAAGUAAAUCUAAAAAUGACAAACAGACUUGGAAAGAACAUGCCAGUAGAUAUAGUAGCUACUGACCAUAAAAAUCAGAAAACAUUUUAUUAUUUCUUCCUUAAAUGAUUUUAUUGAGGUAUAAUUUACACAUCAUACAACUCACCCUCAGUCCAGUGAGUAGCUGUACAGUCGUCCCACAGCCUGGUUUUAGAGCUCUUGGCACCAUAAAAUUUCCCUCCUGGCUGUGUGCAGUGAUCCCUGCUGGCAUUCUAAGCCACAGAAAACACGGAUCUGCUCAUUGUUUCUACGGCUUUACCUUUUCUAGAAACCUCAUAUAAGUAGAACCAGACAACAUGCGUUCUUUCUUGGCGGGCUUCUUUCAUUAUAUAAUAUUUAAUUAAUCACAUAAUAUAUAAAGGUUUGUCAGUGUUAGUAUGAGCCUCACCGUUUCAUUUGCAUUGAACAUCCUCAUCUUAGUGUAUGGUUAAAAUGCCUCUGUGGAUUUUCAAGGAGCUCUAUUGAGUUGUAGUUAACAUAGCACACAGUUCCUGCACAAUAUUUCAGGGGACUGAAGUAGCUCAAUGGUU